Long non-coding RNA from Neopelma chrysocephalum (saffron-crested tyrant-manakin), 1614 nucleotides. RefSeq lists it as uncharacterized. The transcript is spliced from 2 exons. The record is from RefSeq and is a predicted model, not a curated record. Lineage: Eukaryota; Metazoa; Chordata; Aves; Passeriformes; Pipridae.
CUUCCGGGAGCCGCUGGUUUUGAGUGCCCGCCCUCAUCCGUCCCCGCCGGUUCCGGCGGGGCUUGAGCGCAGCCGGGGGCUCUGUCCCACUGGGAAAAGUGUCUUUUCCCGCCAGGUCCUCGUGCCGUGGAGCGAUGUUGCCGCCUUGUUUCCGCCCCGACUCCCUGGAGGCGCCUCAGAGCUCGUGGCUCCCGCCACCUGCACAGCACGGGCACGGGGGGUGGCAGGUGCCAGUGAAGGUCGCUCAGAGAGCUGCUGUAGUCUCCAUCCUUGCGGAUCUUCAAAAGCCGUCUGGACACUGCCCUAGGCAGCCGGCUGUAAGUGGUCCUCAGGUGGUCCCUCACUGGAGAUAUUCAAGGACCGCUUGGAUGCAACCCUGUGCCAUGUGCUCUAGGACAACCCUGCUUGAGCAGGGAAGUUGGACCAGGUGAUCCAUUGUGGUCCGUUCCAACCUGACCCAUUCUGUGAGUCUGUCCUGUUUGAUCAGAGGGACUGGAGAAGUUGACCUUCAGAGAUCUGUUCCAACCACAGGCACUCUGUGAUCCUGGGAAGGAGUGACCACCUUCCACAACACCAGAAGUUCAAAGCAUUCCAGUUUGUGUCCUGACAAGAACCAUGUGCAAGUGGCCCAGAUACAACAGAGUAGGUGGAGAGAAGCACCAUCCCAUUGGCUUGACAACUUGGAAAACUCCCAGAGAUACAAGAACUGGCCAUUGGACAGGCCCAGCCUCACAUGUUUCUUUUCUUGUAAAGGAUCUUGCCUCUAUACCAAUACACCUGAGAACCUCUACCAGUGUUCAUGGUGAGUGAAUUUGUUGUGUUUGUGUUCAGCUGCGUGCAAAGUCCUUGUUAUUCAAACAUAUCUGUCAGACUGGGCUUUUCUCAUGACUGUGGUGGACUACAAGUGCUUAUCUGUCUGUCUCAAAUAGAAUAGAAUUUGUGUGGGAGGUACUUCACCCAGCUGUCUAGGAAACUCUGAGCACUGCUUUGAAACCAUAAAAGGGAGUCUUUGGCUACAAAGAGCCAAAAGAAAAAUUGAUUCUAAUUUUUAAAAGCAGGUAUGGGUUAAGUGUCUGGUGUGAUAAAGUGCUCAUGUCAUAGCUCAAGAGUGUAAUGUAAUAGUUUUUAAUCCAGAGAACACUCAUUCACGUGCUUGGAUCUUGAAGCCCAUUUUCAUGAACUUCAGUCAGACCAUUUGUAUCUAUAGGAUUAGAAACUUGCAUAUUUCUAGCAUUGGCCACUUAGAAAUCAUAGGAAGUUCAAUCCUACAUAACCAACCAGUGCAUUGAACAUGAUAGUUUUGUUUUGUUUUGUUUCAUUUCCCUGAUAAAAACAAAGUAAACUGAAAAUCGGUAAUUUCUUCUUCUUGCAUUUGUUGUGUCACAUAUUUUGGAAUCGAGCUAGGUAUUGUUGAGUGAAAUAGAAAUUACUCAACAUAUGCAUGACCUGAUAACAUUGAGCUGAUAAAGCAUGCAAGCCUGAAAGAUCAUUUUUUCUCGCUUCAAAAGCAUAUAGUCUUUAAGUCUUGAAAGUGUCUCUACGUAAGGUGAUGUCUAUGCAUAGUAAACAAGCAAACUGAUAAUUCUUAAUAAAACCAAAAUCAUAGUCCAGAGA